This is a long non-coding RNA of Eleginops maclovinus (Patagonian blennie), 367 nucleotides long. RefSeq lists it as uncharacterized. The transcript has 3 exons. The record is from RefSeq and is a predicted model, not a curated record. NCBI's taxonomy places the organism in Eukaryota, Metazoa, Chordata, Actinopteri, Perciformes, Eleginopidae.
AGUAGGAACUGUGUGUAAUGCUUUUAAUAUCUAUUUCACCACAAUUAUCAGACUGUAAAAUGAUAGGAUUUCAAAAGCAUUUGAAAAAUAACCAAGCUAAUCAUACAGUACUUAUUCUUUCUCCAAGGGGCAUUGCUGAAAUUUCUUCAUCCCGCUCUACCAAGUGUUGUCUCUGGUGCUACUGAAGGGCCAUCAACAUCGUCUUCGUCACAUGUUUAUGAGGAGGAGCAAGUGGAAGACAACAUUGCGGCGUCCACACCACUUCCCAGCAGUGGUUCAACAGAAGCAGUGCCAUCAACUCCAUCACGACUUGAGGAGGAGCAAGUGGAAGCAUCCACACCACUUCCCAGCAGUGGUUCAACAGAAG